GUCGAGCGAACGGACGAGAAGCUUGCUUCUCUGAUGUUAGCGGCGGACGGGUGAGUAACACGUGGAUAACCUACCUAUAAGACUGGGAUAACUUCGGGAAACCGGAGCUAAUACCGGAUAAUAUUUUGAAUCGCAUGGUUCAAAAGUGAAAGACGGUCUUGCUGUCACUUAUAGAUGGAUCCGCGCUGCAUUAGCUAGUUGGUAAGGUAACGGCUUACCAAGGCAACGAUGCAUAGCCGACCUGAGAGGGUGAUCGGCCACACUGGAACUGAGACACGGUCCAGACUCCUACGGGAGGCAGCAGUAGGGAAUCUUCCGCAAUGGGCGAAAGCCUGACGGAGCAACGCCGCGUGAGUGAUGAAGGUCUUCGGAUCGUAAAACUCUGUUAUUAGGGAAGAACAUAUGUGUAAGUAACUGUGCACAUCUUGACGGUACCUAAUCAGAAAGCCACGGCUAACUACGUGCCAGCAGCCGCGGUAAUACGUAGGUGGCAAGCGUUAUCCGGAAUUAUUGGGCGUAAAGCGCGCGUAGGCGGUUUUUUAAGUCUGAUGUGAAAGCCCACGGCUCAACCGUGGAGGGUCAUUGGAAACUGGAAAACUUGAGUGCAGAAGAGGAAAGUGGAAUUCCAUGUGUAGCGGUGAAAUGCGCAGAGAUAUGGAGGAACACCAGUGGCGAAGGCGACUU
This 684-nucleotide ribosomal RNA is filed under the name uncultured Staphylococcus sp. RNAcentral describes it as "bacterial SSU rRNA". It matches the Rfam family "Bacterial small subunit ribosomal RNA", at positions 61 to 727 of the family's 1533-position model. Lineage: Bacteria; Bacillati; Bacillota; Bacilli; Caryophanales; Staphylococcaceae. The record is from RNAcentral.